GUUGAACGCUGGCGGCAGGCCUAACACAUGCAAGUCGAACGGAAAAAGGCAGCUUGCUCCUGGUUUCCGCGGGGGACGGGUGAGUGAUACCCAUGAAUAUGCCUGGUAGUGGUGGAUGACGACCGGAAGCGGCCGCUGAUACUACCUACUUCGAGCGGCAGCAGGUUGGUGGUCUUCGGACCGUACGCUCUCAUGUGAGCCUAGGCCGGGUUUAUCAGUUGGUGGGUGAAGGGCCUACCAACCCAGCGAUCCGUAACUGGUCUGAGAGGAAGAGCAGUCACACUGGAACUGAGAGACGGUCCAGACUCCGACGGGAGGAAGCAGUGGGGACUAUUGGACAAUGGGCGAAAGCCUGAUCCAGCCAUGCCGCGUGUGUGAAGAAGGUAUUCGGAUUGUAAAGAACUUUAAGUUGGGAGGAAGGGCAGUAAGUGAAUACCUCGCUGUUUUGACGUUACCAACAGAAAAAGCACCGGCUAACUUCGUG
Molecule: ribosomal RNA, 484 nt
Filed under: uncultured bacterium
Lineage: Bacteria
Description: partial 16S ribosomal RNA
Rfam family: Bacterial small subunit ribosomal RNA
Source: RNAcentral